RNAcentral lists this ribosomal RNA (1375 nucleotides) under uncultured bacterium. RNAcentral describes it as "16S ribosomal RNA". It matches the Rfam family "Bacterial small subunit ribosomal RNA", at positions 30 to 1394 of the family's 1533-position model. The record is from RNAcentral.
UGAACGCUGGCGGUAUGCUUAACACAUGCAAGUCGAACGGAAACGAUACUAGCUUGCUAGUAGGCGUCGAGUGGCGGACGGGUGAGUAACGCGUAGGAAUCUGCCUGAUAGUGGGGGAUAGCCCGAAGAAAUUCGGAUUAAUACCGCAUAAUCUAUUCGUAGUAAAGUGGGGGACUUUCGAGCCUCACGCUAUCAGAUGAGCCUGCGUAAGAUUAGCUUGUUGGUAGGGUAAAAGCCUACCAAGGCGACGAUCUUUAGCUGGUCUGAGAGGAUGAUCAGCCACAUCGGGACUGAGACCCGGCCCGAACUCCUACGGGAGGCAGCAGUGGGGAAUAUUGGACAAUGGGGGCAACCCUGAUCCAGCAAUACCGCGUGUGUGAAGAAGGCCUGAGGGUUGUAAAGCACUUUCAAUUGUGAAGAAAAGUUAGCGGUUAAUAACCGUUAGCCUUGACGUUAACUUUAGAAGAAGCACCGGCUAACUCCGUGCCCAGCAGCCGCGGUAAUACGGAGGGUGCAAGCGUUAAUCGGAAUUACUGGGCGUAAAGCGUGCGUAGGCGGUUUAUUAAGUCAGAUGUGAAAGCCCCGGGCUUAACCUGGGAACUGCAUUUGAAACUGGUCAACUAGAGUAUGGUAGAGGAAAGUGGAAUUUCUGGUGUAGCGGUGAAAUGCGUAGAUAUCAGAAGGAACAUCAAUGGCGAAAGGCAGCUUUCUGGACCAAUACUGACGCUGAGGUACGAAAGCGUGGGUAGCAAACAGGAUUAGAUACCCUGGUAGUCCACGCCGUAAACGAUGAUAACUAGCCGUUGGGGGGAUUUACCCUUUAGUGGCGAAGCUAACGCGUUAAGUUAUCCGCCUGGGGAGUACGGCCGCAAGGUUAAAACUCAAAGGAAUUGACGGGGACCCGCACAAGCGGUGGAGCAUGUGGUUUAAUUCGAUGCAACGCGAAGAACCUUACCUGGUCUUGACAUCCUGCGAACUUUCUAGAAAUAGAUUGGUGCCUUCGGGAACGCAGUGACAGGUGCUGCAUGGCUGUCGUCAGCUCGUGUCGUGAGAUGUUGGGUUAAGUCCCGUAACGAGCGCAACCCCUAUCCUUAUUUGCCAGCACAUCAUGGUGGGAACUAUAAGGAGACUGCCGGUGAUAAACCGGAGGAAGGCGGGGACGACGUCAAGUCAUCAUGGCCCUUACGACCAGGGCUACACACGUGCUACAAUGGGAAGGACAAAGAGCCGCGAAGCCGCGAGGUGUAGCUAAUCUCAUAAACCUUUUCGUAGUCCGGAUUGGAGUCUGCAACUCGACUCCAUGAAGUCGGAAUCGCUAGUAAUCGUAGAUCAGAAUGCUACGGUGAAUACGUUCCCGGGUCUUGUACUCACCGCC